UUACUGCUGACGCGGCUCCUACUCCCUCACUUGAUACUACUACUACUACUACUACUACUACUACUACUACUUCUACUACUACUACUACUUUUUCUCUAUUUAAUCUACUGCUGUGUUUACUUGUGCUACGACUAUAUGUUUUUUGUUUAUGCUCCUAUUUCUACUAUUGCUACUACUAACACUGUUUUACUACUACUACUACCGCUAUUUACGUUUCUGUUUCUACUACUAACACUAGUUGUAAUAAUUCUGCCACUUCUAACUUUACUACCUCUGCUUCUGCUGCUUUUGCUUCUGCCAACAUUACUUCCUCUACAUCUUCUGCUUCUACUUUUUCAUCUUGUGUCUUCUUCAUUAUUUUUUUCGGCUAAUCUUCAGUUCUUAAUUGUUGUUGAUGUUGUUAUUGUUUGUUUUCUGUUCGUUGCCAUUCUCUCUCUCUCUCUCUCUCUCUCUCUCUCUCUCUCUCUCUCUCUCUCUCUCUCUCUCUCUCUCUCUCUCUCUCUCUCUCUCUCUCCUGUAUUAAGUUGUUUCUUUCAGUUAUCUUUUCAAUGUGUUUCUUUCGCGUGUGUCUGUGUGAUCCGUCUGUGUCUGUCUGUUGCGCUUGAUCGGUCUUUGUGGCUGUUCUUACUUUUUGUCUUUCUGUCUGUCUCUCUGUUGAUCAAUGCUUCAAAUUAUCUAUUCCUCGUUUUUGUCUGUCUGUCUGUCUCAUUGUUAUUGUCUGUCUUUCUGUCUGUUCCCCUUGGCUUCCACCUGUCUAUCUGUCGUUUAGUCUGUUGGUCUAGUUGUCUUCUGUCUGUUCCCCUUGGCUUCAUCAUUUUGUCUGUCUGUCUGUUUAUCUAUUGUUGUCUUCGUCUGUGGGCUUAACCUUUACUAUCUUCCUUUUUAUCGUGUAUCUCUUCCUUAACCCAUUUAUUGAUCCUUCUUCUUAUGUAUUUAUCUAUCUAUCUAUCUAUUCUUAUUUCCUCCCCCUGCAUGUUCUUUCACUAGACUCUUCGUUAGCACUCUAAAGCCUAACGCACUUUUUUUCACUUUCCUCCUAUAUAUAUUUACAUUUGUAUCUAUAUUGGCAUUACCUAUUAUUAUUAUUCUCAUUUGUAUAUGCUGAUGUUGGGUGGAGAUGAUGGUGGUGAUGAUGGUGAUGGUUAGGUGUGUGUGUGUGUGUGUGUGUGUGUGUGUGUGUGUGUGUGUGUGUGUUAUUAGGUUCUGGUGGUGAUGAGUGAGCGUUUAUUUAAAUAGGUGAUGUCGAGGAAGGAAGAGGAUGGUGAUGGUGGUGAUGGUGAAGUAGGAAGUGGUGGUAAUGAAUUUUUGGGAUGAUAGAUUGUAGUGGUAUUAGUGGUAGUGAUGAUAAUGGUGGUGGUGGUGGUUUGUAAGUAAUGGUGGUGGUUGGUCAGUUUAUUCUUCUCCCAGUCAGUCAGUCAGUCAGUCAAUAGUUCAUUCAAUCAGUUAGUCUGUCUUUCACUCAGUCAGUCAGUUGGUCAGUUAAUCCAUCUAUCUCACUCACUUAGUCAGUCAGUUAGUUAAUCUGUCUAUUUGUCAGUCAGUCGGUCAGUCAGUAAGUUAGUCGAUAGGUCAGCCAGCCAGUCAGUUAGUCGAUAGGUCAGCCAGUCAGUCAGUUGGUCAAUAGGUCAGUCAGUUAGUCAAUAGGUCAGUCAGUCAGUCAGUUAGUCGAUAGGUCAGUCAGUUAGUCGAUAGGUCAGCCAGUCAGUCAGUUGGUCAAUAGGUCAGUCAGUUAGUUGAUAGGUCAGUCAGUUAGUCGAUAGGUCAGCCAGUCAGUCAGUUAGUCGGUAUGUAUUAGUCCAUGUCAGUAGGUCAGUCAGUCAGUCACUCAGUCAAUUAUAUUUUUUGUGAUUAUGUCGAUAUUGAUAGGUUCUUGUGUGUGUGUGUGUGUGUGUGUGUGUGUGUGUGUGUGUGUGUGUGUGUGUGUGUGUCGCUCCAGACUUGAUUGCGCUCACUGAUUUACCUACGGUGCGGCCCGACCCAGCCUCUCUUGUGGUGGUGUUGACGAGAAGAAAGGAGAGAAAAAAAAAGAA
Molecule: long non-coding RNA, 2030 nt
Organism: Eriocheir sinensis (Chinese mitten crab)
Lineage: Eukaryota; Metazoa; Arthropoda; Malacostraca; Decapoda; Varunidae
Exons: 2
Source: RefSeq, a predicted model, not a curated record